Molecule: long non-coding RNA, 3271 nt
Filed under: Equus caballus (horse)
Lineage: Eukaryota; Metazoa; Chordata; Mammalia; Perissodactyla; Equidae
Description: lncRNA (ENSECAG00000043947.1)
Source: RNAcentral
CAAACUCAACAUCCAAACAAAUUUGGGUGGAGACCAUCUGCCCCCACAGGUGACGAUAAAUACAACUCACUGUAGAGUAAGAUAUGGGGGUGCCAAAAAAGAAGUUAGAAUGCACGGUAUGGACAACAACUCCUGUAAGAAUUCAAAGCAGUCAACAUUCUCCAUGAGCUGGAAUUGUUAGGAAAGGCACUGGAGCAAACAAUAUGCAUUGGAUGCAUUCAUUCCAAAGCAUCUAUUGAGUCAAGACCUGUAACAAGCACUAUGGAUAGAAAGCUAAUGUGUAACACAAAUUUCCUCCUGAAGGAAUCCAAAGUCCAAUGGUGAGCUGAAAAAUAUAAAAUAACUAUAACAGAAUAAUAUAUAUAAGAGAAUAUAAUAAGCACCUAUGUAAUAAGCGCUAUGACAGUAGCAUGAAGUUGGUGUAUAGAAGCCUCGCUGAGUUAAAGAAAGGGAACAGCUGCGGGAGAGAAUCUAGCUGAAGCAAAAGUCCAUGACACAGGCAAGCUGCGGUGGGGCAGAACUCGUCUGCUGAGUUCAGUGGUCACUCUGUCUCCUCGGGCCACAUCACCAUAACACCCUUCCAGCUCCUGGGGUAGAGCUCUAAGAACAGGCAAAAGGAAAAUUACAGUCUUCCCCUCUCCCCAACCAAAAAGGUAAGUAAGGGCACAUUCAUACCCUGACUAGAGCCGAAAGCUCUGUUUAAGGAAUAAAUUCUCUUAUUGGAAAUAUCCUUGAAUUUCACAGGUAUUUCAAAUGCUAUGUCUUAAAACCUCUAAAACUCAGACUCUAGCAUGUGUUUGCCAUUUGUCCCUACCUCUUUACUGACUCACCCAAGUGCUCUUUUUCUCUAAAGGUCAAAGAAAACCAGCUCUGAAAUAUUCUAAACAUUCCCACUGUUCCCACUAUUGUCAUCCAAGCUCUUUCAGAUGCGAGAUGGUUGCAGAUUACCCUUUCUAGAUUUUGCAUAUUAGCCACUUCACAAUCUUACUAUAUUAUCAUGUAUUACUAUACUACAAAGCUACACAAAAGAAAGUCUAAUACAGGCCCAACUUACCUCCCUCCCUCCCUCUCUCUCUCUCUCACACACACACACACACGCGCACACACGCACACGCACACGCACACAUCAUGGAUCAGGGCUAAAGAGAAUACAUGAAGAGGCAAACAAAACUUAGACCACUUGUCCCAUCCAUAAGCAUAUGAAAUAAAAUGAUGACUAAACAUAGCCACAAAAAGACAAAUAUUCUGAAUACCUUAGCCUAAUACCAUGAAUCUGACCAUAAUGUAGUUAGAUUGAGACAGAAAGAAAUCCAGUGAGAGACUAGGGUUAAAUCCCUUUGAACAUUAUAAGCAGAGACAAGGAUCAAGGAAAAUAACUAUUCAUUGAGCUGAACACUAAUUGGACUCAAUCAGUCAAGUUCUGCCUAGGGCGAUGGAAGACACUUUGCCAACUCUGCCAAAGAGAAAGGGGCUGCUGACUGUUUUUUUCCAACUCUCUCCUCAGUUACCCUACACUACCCUCAGUUCAAACAAGAGAGGAUCUAUUUACAGACAAAACUUCAUCAGUGGGCCAGGAUGUUUGGAUUUGUAGCCAGAUCAUCAAAUAGCUAUAUGGCCUAUAGUGGCAGAUGAAGAAUGGUGCUAAAUCAGCAAAUUAGCAGAAGCAGUUCAGUGGAGGAGAGAGAACCUUUUCGAUAAGUGAUAUAGGAACAAAUGGAUACCCAUAGGCAAAAAAAUCCCCAAAACAAUACUAAACUUUGACCUCAACAUCACACCUUAUACAGAACUUUACGUUAACUCAAAAUAGAUCAUAAACUUAAACGUAAAACAUGAAACUAUGAAACUUCCAGAAAAAACCAUAGGAGAGAAUCUUCUGUACCUAAGACUAGAUGAAGAGUUCUUAGACUUGACACCAAAAGCCUAAACCAUGAAAGAAAAUAAUUGAAAAAUUGAACCUCAUCAGAAUUAAAAUCUUUUGCUCUGUGAAAGACCUUGUUAAAAAAAACACAAAGACAAAUUACAGACUAGGAGAAAAUAUUUGUAAAUCACAUAGCCUACAAAGUUCUGUUAUCUAGGCUCUAUAAAGAACUCUCAAAACUUGGCACUAAAAAAAUCCCAUCAGAAAAUAGGCAAAAUACAGGAAGAGACAUUUAGCUGAAGAGGAUAUACAGAUAGCAAAUAAACACAUGAAAGGAUGUUCAACAUCGCUAGCCAUUUGACAAAUGCAAAUUAAAACCACAGUGAUAUAUUAAUGCACACCUAUCAGAAAGGCUAAAAUAAAAUAGUGAUAAUACCAAAUGCCAGGAAGGAUACAGAGAGACUGAAAACUCGCCCACUGCUGGUGAGAGUGUGAAAUGGUAAUGCCACUCUGGAACAUAGUUUAAGAGUUCCUUUCAAAACUCAAAAUGAACUUACCAUAUAACCUAGCAGUUGCAUUCUUGGAUAUAUAUCCCAGAGAAAUGAAAACUUACUUUCAUGCAGAAACUUUUACACAAUUAGUUGUAGCAGCUAUAUUCACAAUGUUUAAAACCUCAAUACCACCCAGCAUUCUUCAGUGGGUAUAUGGUUAGACAAAUUGUAGGCGAUGGGCAGAACAGAAAGGCUUCCCUCCUAAUCUGGGAAACUUCAACAGUAAAAUAACAAACAAAAAACAACAAAACAAAAGAAUAUCCAACAACAAGUAACAACAACAAAAACAUUACAAUCAGAAGAUGGGGAUAAGGAAUCUAUGGGUAUUUCACUGAAGAGGACAUACAGAUGGCAAAUAAGCACAUGAAAAGAUGCUCAACAUCAUUAGCCAUCAGGGAGAUGCAAAUUCAAACAAGAAGAUAGCAUCGCACUCCUAUCAGAAUGGCUAAAGUAGAAACAUAGUGACAACACCAAAAGCUGGCAAGAAUUCGGUGAAAAUGGAUCACUCCCACAUUGCUGGUGGGAAUGUAAGAUGGUGCAGCCACUGUGGAAAACAGGUUGUUAGGUUCUUCUAAAACUAAGCAUGCGCUAUCAUAGGUUCUAGCAAUUGCAUCUUUCUCCAUUUAUUCCAGAGAAACAAAAACAAAAAGUAAAUUCGAAUGUAGCUUUGUUCAUAACAGCCCCAAACUGGAAUCAGCUGAUGUAUCCUUCCACAGAAGAAUGAUUAAGCAAACUAUGGUACGUCCAUAGCAUGGAAUAUUACUCAGCAAUAAAAAGGACUGAACUAUUUAUACUUGCAACAGCUUGGAUCAAUUUCCAGGAAAUUAGGCCAAGUGAAAAAAAAGAAAAAAAAAAAAAAAAA